ACGCUCGACACCUACGAGAGGCAGCAGUGGGGAAUAUUGCACAAUGGGGGAAACCCUGAUGCAGCGACGCCGCGUGAAGGAAGAAGUAUUUCGGUAUGUAAACUUCUAUCAGCAGGGAAGAAAAUGACGGUACCUGACUAAGAAGCCCCGGCUAACUACGUGCCAGCAGCCCGGUAAUCUGAGCGGGCUGGCAAGGC
Molecule: ribosomal RNA, 197 nt
Filed under: uncultured bacterium
Lineage: Bacteria
Description: partial 16S ribosomal RNA
Rfam family: Bacterial small subunit ribosomal RNA
Source: RNAcentral